CAAAAGUACACACAUCUUCUCUAUUGUGAAAGACCAAAAAAUGGAAAUGUGUUGUGAAAUUAGAAAAGCUGUAUACUAGUAUGUCUGAUGUUGUGAGAAGCUGGAUUUUUGAAACCAGAGUUGUCUAUUCAGCCUUUUAUCAGUCUGUACUAAGUUUGAUGUCCAUAGGUACAUAAUAUAGGGAGAUACAUAAAGGAUAAAAUUAAGUGAAGUUACUUCCACACCAGUCUAAUAUUAAAUGGAACUAGAGUCAAAUAGAAUUUAGCGAUUGCCAGUUCUGUUCCACAGAUUUCAAAGUACACUAAGGAAAAUU
RNAcentral lists this long non-coding RNA (313 nucleotides) under Homo sapiens (human). RNAcentral describes it as "HSALNT0384927". Lineage: Eukaryota; Metazoa; Chordata; Mammalia; Primates; Hominidae. The record is from RNAcentral.